Long non-coding RNA from Lagopus leucura (white-tailed ptarmigan), 740 nucleotides. RefSeq lists it as uncharacterized. Lineage: Eukaryota; Metazoa; Chordata; Aves; Galliformes; Phasianidae. The record is from RefSeq and is a predicted model, not a curated record. The transcript has 3 exons.
UGCGAGGCUCUUUUUGGUGUCCAUGCGGCCGGAGGCCGCUAUGGGGCGCUCUACGCCGGGCUGAGCAGAGUAAAGCGGACGCCUCGCGGAGCCGGGAGCGGCAUCGGCAUCGGGCUGUGUCCGGGCGUAGCUGGACGAUCCCCGAACCGAAGCGCUGGCCGCAUUGAGUGACCGGAGCAGUUUGGGGAAAGGAGACGACCGCAUUUCGGGUGACAUCUGCCCGAGGACAAGGGGGAAGAAGAGUCAGGGCUUCGCCUCUCUGCCCUGCUCCGAGUGCAGCCGCUAUCUCUGCCUGCCGGGGGAGCGAACCGAGCUGUGCGGGUGGUCCUUGCCCCGCGAGGGGCUGAAGCGCGAUCAGGCUGGUGCAGAUAACUUCCUUAAGGUCAGAGGUAUUGCGGUGGCUGUGGCUGGUCAGUUGUGCUGGCAUCCACAGAUAACAGCUGAUCACGGGUAACAGCUGGUCCUGGGCCUUUGUGAAGUCUGCACAAUGCGUGUGUUUACUUCGUUGUCCUUUGGAGAGGGAUAGGGCCCUUCAAGUCAGGUGCAGCACAGCUUGACUGCGUCCCAAGUGAGUAGGAGUUGAAAGAGCAACCCUCAUAGAUGACCUCAAGAGACUUUAGAGUAUGCCCCUAGUUUGAAAUGAUGGAAAAUUUACACCAGGUAUAAGGAAGAAAUGUUUUACAGUAAGGAUGAUGAGGCACUGGAAGAUGUUGCCCAGCGAGAUGGUGGAAACCCUGUCU